CAGGCGGGGAGGGGCGGGCCCGGGGCGGGGCGGCGCGCUCUGGGCUCCGGCCCCAGCCGGAGGUUAAGGGUCAGGGUUGGGGGCUGUGGGCGGGAUACGCUCUCUGGAGCUCCAAGCCCCGCUGGAGAGUGGGGGUCUGGUUCCAGGGGGGCCCGCGAACGCGAACCGGGAUCCGCCCCGGCUGGAGGAGAGGGGCCCGGGGCGGGAGCCCGGCGCGGACUCGGAGCUGGGGUGGCCUCUAGAAGCGCCGACUCUGGUGAACCGAUCUACUGAGGGGGAUGGCGUGGAGCGCGCGCUCGGCGAUCGGCGCCACCUGCGGGUCGGGGAGGGCGAGGCGGCGAUGCCCGGAGGCGCGGGCGCAACAGAGACAUGUGACACGGAUGAACCUUGAUAGCUUCCUGGGCUGUUUCCACGGGGCAAAGGGACCAUAAAG
RNAcentral lists this long non-coding RNA (433 nucleotides) under Heterocephalus glaber (naked mole-rat). RNAcentral's name for it is "lncRNA (ENSHGLG00000046579.1)". The record is from RNAcentral. Lineage: Eukaryota; Metazoa; Chordata; Mammalia; Rodentia; Bathyergidae.